RNAcentral lists this long non-coding RNA (242 nucleotides) under Brassica napus (rape). Its description in RNAcentral is "long non-coding RNA (BNAP_LNC024273)". The record is from RNAcentral. Lineage: Eukaryota; Viridiplantae; Streptophyta; Magnoliopsida; Brassicales; Brassicaceae.
CCUUAUCCACACCAAAAUCUCAAAUCCCCUUGUUUGUUUUAUAACCGGAUAUAUAUCUUGAUGGCCAUUAUACAUAUCAAUUCCCUAAAUCCUUUUUGCUUGAUUUUUAUCAAUCCCAUAAACUUUAAGCAAUAAUCGGCUGAACCCCUAAAUCCAAAUCCGGCCAUGAUUUUUUUUCCGGCCAUGACCUUUUCCGGCCACAAUCUUUUCAACCAUAAUCUUUCAGUCAAACCCAAAGAUAU